GUCCGGGGAAGGAAUCCUCCGGCACCUGGGCCCUGCACCGACACCCGCGGGUGCGGCAGAGGGCUUCUCCCCGUGCUCCUCCACCCCUGGGGGGAGCGCGACCCUCUCUGGGCGGAGUGGGGGAUCCCGGGGCCGGCGCCUCCUGGCGGAGUUGGGGGAGGGGAACCACCUGGAGCCUGGAGGCCGUGCGAGGGCGAGGUGGGCGGACCAGCCCGGGAGGACUGACGUUGGAGGGUGAGAAGAGCCUUUCCUGGCCUCUCUGUCUAAAAGCACCCUGCGGAGCACAGUGGCUUACACCUGUAACCUCAGCACUCAGGGAAGCCAAGGCCGGAGGAGCAGUUGAGCUCAGGAGUCGGAGACCAGCCUGUGCAACCUGGGAGAACUUUCUACAAAAUAAAAAAAUUAGCGGAGCAUGGUGGCACACACCUGUAAUCCCAGCUACGGGGCGGGGCGGCGAGUGGGGAGCAGGCUGGACAAUGGAGUGAGAUCCUGUCUUAAAACACAAAAUAAAAGCAGCUCUCACUCAA
This is a long non-coding RNA of Homo sapiens (human), 527 nucleotides long. RefSeq lists it as uncharacterized. The transcript is spliced from 2 exons. The record is from RefSeq and is a predicted model, not a curated record. NCBI's taxonomy places the organism in Eukaryota, Metazoa, Chordata, Mammalia, Primates, Hominidae.